GGAAUCUCAACUUGAUACACCCUUUUCUCUUAUCAUCUUAAUGCUCUAUAGUUUGUUUUCUCAUUUUGAACCAGGAGGAAAAAGCAACAAAUUCUUCUGGCUUGUGGCCUCUGUAUUUUAUGGCUGAUGGAACGUGAAAAUCACAUCAACUUUGCUAAUUCCCAACUCACCUGAUGUGUGGGAGUGUUGUUGGUACUUAUGCUUAAGUCAAGAAAUAUGGUUUAAAACUGAGAUAAUGAUGUGAAAGCAUCUAGAAUGAUGUCUUCCCAGUAGUUAGGUGGUAAUUAAGUUCCACUGGAUACAAGGAACAGAGUCAAGUUAUUAUUAUUUUAAACAGUGGGGUUUUGGAAGGAUAUUAAUAGACAGAAGGAAUCUCAGCUAAGAGCUGAGGCCUGGCUUGGCAACUCUAAGAACUGGAUUUUCUUGUUAGCCACUCAGUAGCAGAAAUUUGUUGACCUUACACUAUUAGGUGACUUGGUUCCUCUUUGUAUUUACUGCUUUUGCUGACCUACUUGCUCAUGGUCUAUUCAGCCCCCUUCUCCCUCCUUCGCUGUUUCUCUUCACUCAUUUUGUCUCCUUUCUUGUAGCUUUA
RNAcentral lists this long non-coding RNA (592 nucleotides) under Bos taurus (domestic cattle). RNAcentral describes it as "long non-coding RNA NONBTAT022616". The record is from RNAcentral. Lineage: Eukaryota; Metazoa; Chordata; Mammalia; Artiodactyla; Bovidae.